Non-coding RNA from Schizosaccharomyces pombe (fission yeast), 84 nucleotides. NCBI's taxonomy places the organism in Eukaryota, Fungi, Ascomycota, Schizosaccharomycetes, Schizosaccharomycetales, Schizosaccharomycetaceae. The record is from the annotation of a GenBank genome assembly.
GGCGAAGUGGCCGAGUGGUCUAUGGCGCUAGCUUCAGGUGCUAGUCUACGUAUGUGGGCGUGGGUUCGAACCCCACCUUCGUCA